CUCAUGAGUUCUUAGAUUUGGCAAGGCCUAAGAGAGAAGGGGAGUUGACUUGCACUGUGAGCCAGGACUCCUAUCCCUCCCACUACAUGGAAGAGACAAGGAUGGCAUUGCAGGUGCCGGAACCAGCAAGAAGGCAGGCCCAGGGAAGCAUGAGGAUGUUCCAGGACUGGUGAUGGUCUAAUAUGGCUAGAGGAAAAAGUGGGGGGUAGCAAGAUGGAUGUCGAGGGGACCUUGGUAGUCAGAGGAUCUGAGGACCUCUCUGUGGGGUACUUUGUGUGUGGAGAAGGUAGGACUGGCCAUUGCUGGAAGUAUGCAUCUUGGGGGCAAUGCACAUGUCCCUGUUUCACAGGCCAUGUGACCAGCACUGAGGGAACUGGCAUGGACGCCGGUAGCAGAGCUGCAGCAUGGCAGACGCUCAGGAAGCUCCUAUGGGGAGUAGACGUCAUGGCAGGAUACCCCUUGGACUGUGCCCCCGCUUUCCGUUCUUAA
This 489-nucleotide long non-coding RNA is filed under the name Mustela putorius furo (domestic ferret). RNAcentral describes it as "lncRNA (ENSMPUG00000030075.1)". Lineage: Eukaryota; Metazoa; Chordata; Mammalia; Carnivora; Mustelidae. The record is from RNAcentral.